RNAcentral lists this long non-coding RNA (931 nucleotides) under Brassica napus (rape). Its description in RNAcentral is "long non-coding RNA (BNAP_LNC019077)". The record is from RNAcentral. Lineage: Eukaryota; Viridiplantae; Streptophyta; Magnoliopsida; Brassicales; Brassicaceae.
ACGGUCUGUCGUUUAGUCUCAUUUUACAAGGUUCACCUAGCCCAAAACCGUGAUAUUGUGCUUAAUUUGAAUCCACUAUUCUUCCAGCCAUCACAGGUCAGUAGAGAUUUCAUUGUCUCUGUUUUAUUUCUUUUGAAAAUUAGAGUCAAAUCUAGGCAGAGGAUGCUGUUUUCUACAGCUCUUAGCUAUGUUUCUAGAAUCACGCACCUGCUCUUAUUGGCUAACAGCCUUCAUCUUCAACAAAGUUCUACUGCGACUCGGGAAUAGCUCAUCCUCCACUGUUCCUAUCAGAUACAUACUUUUAAUUGAAGCAAAUGAGAGUAUGUCAUCAUCAGUGUUGGUAUAUAUCAAUCGUUAUCAAAUAAAUUGUCUACUCUAACCCUAUCCAUGACGACAUCCACAAUAACUUGAGCCUUGACCACAAACAUCCUAACCCUUAACAAAUUCUAAUCCACAACCAUCCUAAAAAUAAACUGUCUACUCUAACUCCAUCGAUAACCACAUCCACUCUAACUUGAGUCAUAAACACAACCAUCCUAACCAUGACCUCAUCCAUGACCAUUUCCACCCUAAUCCCAUCCAUGACCCUAUCCAUCCUCACCCCAUCCAUAACCAUACCUCUGUCUAAGACAACCAAUCUACCAUUAACCAUAACCCCAAGAACGACCUAUUUAAGUCCAACAACUCUGUCCACCCCAACUCAUGUUGUCAAUACCCAUGCAUUUAUCAUGUCUGACCACAUGUGUCUAACCACAAAACAUUUGUGUUAGCUUGCUUAAUUUACCGACAACCACAUUUUCUAAUUGAUUACUAACAUGACACCAAUUUAAGUUAAGUUUGACCACAACUCUUUAUCCUAGAGCUUCUGUUUUUAUCAAGGGUAAAUUCGUCAUAAUAAACCAAGAAGAUAAGACCAAAAUGCAAUUCGAGC